GUGGUUGUGGCUCAGAGGUAGAGCGCACACCUAACAUGCGUGAGGCAUUGAGUUCGGUCCUCAGCAUCACA
Molecule: non-coding RNA, 71 nt
Organism: Ictidomys tridecemlineatus (thirteen-lined ground squirrel)
Lineage: Eukaryota; Metazoa; Chordata; Mammalia; Rodentia; Sciuridae
Source: Rfam